Long non-coding RNA from Piliocolobus tephrosceles (Ugandan red Colobus), 2614 nucleotides. Lineage: Eukaryota; Metazoa; Chordata; Mammalia; Primates; Cercopithecidae. The record is from Ensembl.
UUACGUCCAUAUAUAUUGUAUUAUGUGAAUUUUUACUUUGACUGUUGUAAGCAGUUGGGACUUAUAUGAGAGAAACAUUUUGCUCGUGCAUAAAUAAAUAUAUAUAUAUAGUUUUUUAAUUUAUAGCUUUAGGUGCUUUUAUAAUUUUUUUUUUUUUUUUUCUUUUUUCUUUUUUUUUUUUUCUUUUUUUUUUUUUUUCCUUUCUUUUCUCCUUUUUUUUUAACAUGCUAAUAUUAUUAUAUUAUACGUACUAUAAAAAUAAGUUAAAAAUAAAUUAAUUUAAAUUUGUGUUAAACAUAAUUUUUUUUUUUUUUUUCUUCAUUCUACAUAUACCUAAACAACGUUUUAAUCAUGUAUAUAUAAAAUAUAUAUAUAUAUAUUUCAGCAAUGUCAAUUUUUAAUAAAGAUUUUUUUUUUUUUUUUAGUUGUUAAGCAUUAUUAAUCAAACACGCCUCAAUAUAAUAUACCCCAACAUAUCCCCAUUAUGUUAAUAAUAUAACAAAUAAACAAAUAUAGAUAAAUAUAUAUAACACGUUAGAGCAGUAUAAUAUAAAUAACAUUGAUCGUACCAAAUAAAACUAAUACAAACAUCGCUAUAAAAAAAAAAAUAAUAAAUAAAUAAAUAAAUAAAAAUGGGAAGUAAUAUAAAUGAGAAAAGUGAAAAAAUAAAAAUACGUUUUAUAUUUUUUCUUUUGGGACUAGUAUUAAGCCUACCAUCACAUACCUUUGUGACAAUUUCAUCCUUAAUAAAUGGUAUAUAUGAUAAAAACACAGCCCCUAUAUUAAUAGGGAUCUAUAGUGCCUCUAUACUUGUCGCUUCGUUUUUUCAGCUGACGUUCGAGCUAACAUCCUUUAAUGCUAUAAUAUGGUGUUCAAUUUUCAAAACAGUAGCUUACUUUUUUGCAUUAACAUGUAUAUGCCUUCUUAAAUUAUCCAAGUACUAUUUAUAUUUUUCAGGAGUUAUACUUGGAUUGUUAGUAGGCUAUUUUUACUCAGCAUGUACAAAAUAUUCCUUACUUUUAAAUAUGAAUGUAAAUAGUUAUUUAAUUACAGGCACAGCUAUGUGUGGUUUUACGUUUUUUUUUGUUAAUUUAUUUACUUCAUUUUUUACGAUUAUAGAUGGAGUGAAAGAGACAUAUUUUAGUACUAUUACAUUUUCAUUUGGUUUUUUUAUUAUCGCAGAUAUAUUUAUUCUUAUUUAUGUCGUUUAUGUAGAAAUUACAUCAGUUUAUUUUAAAAAUCUGAGGGUACAAAUAGAAGGCUACAAAUAUAAUAAUAAAAAAAAAAACAGUGAUGAUAAUAUUAAUUUAUCUAUUGUAGAACAUGGGGAUGGGGUUAUAAAAAAUUGUACUGAGAAUAGUACAAUGGCUAAUAUAGUUAUAAGUGAUACAUUAGAAAGUGCAAUUAAAACUGAUAAAAGUGAUAUACAAAAUAAAGAAAAUAGAAAUGAUAGUAUAUAUUGGAAUAACUAUAAAAUAGAGAAAAAAUCUAUUUUCCAUAUUUUAAAAAACAAAAUUAUUCAAAUAAAAAAUAGAUUUAAUUUUAAUAAUAUAAUUUUAGGCGCGAAAUUAAUUAAAUACUAUUACGCUUGUUUGGUUCCUAUAUGUCUUACAAUGUUUGCAUCUUAUUUGAUUUUCCCACAUUUACUACCUGAUAUGUUGGACAACACAGAAUACGAAAAAUAUUUCUGUAAAUUUUUGUUCCAACUUAGUAAUGUUACUUUUAGUUUUAUCAUGGCCUUUAUAAUGGGAAAAUUAAAUUUUAUAAAACAGAAAUAUGUUAUGAUUGUUUCUGUAAUAAGAUUAUUAUUUAUAUGGAUAUGUUAUAUAGUAGUAAAAAACAAGCCAACUAAUUUUAUUUAUUCAAAUAUAAUUACAUCAAUUAUUAUAAUAUUAAUAGGGGCUUCAAAUUCAAUUAUACGUAACAUGAGUUUUGCACGUAUCGGAACAUGUUUCGAAGACAAUGUUAAAAAAGAUCAUUAUGUUUCUGUAUCUUCUUCCUUUUGUUCUUUAUCAUACCUAGUCAGUUAUGCUUUAGCACCAUGGUUUGCUCGUAUAAUUAAAGCUAUAUAAAGGAACAUGUAUGUAAGAAACAUAAAAAGUUGUAUACAUAGAUACGAUAUAUAUGUGUUAUGUCUAUGUACUUAUUUAUAUAUUUACUUGUUCUUUAUGAAUUUUAAUUAAACAAUUGCAUGUACAUAAUGAACGUAUCUUCCCCUAUAUAUAUAUAUAUAUAUAUUUAUUUAUUAAGCUUUUUUUUUUUUUUUUUUUUUUUUUAAUAUCAAUGUUAUAUAUCAUAGACCAUUUAUCAAAUAUGCCCAUACACUUUUUUUUUUUUUUUAAUAAGUGUCAAAAUUGGCAUGUAUAUAUAUAUGUGCAUUUUACUUUGUUAAUUCUUGUGUAAUACUUUAUUACAUACUCUUUCCUAACACGAGUAUAACCGCUUAAAUAAGUGAACGUACACUUUUAUAUGCAUAUAUUCAUUAUAGACAUGACAAUUAUUUUUAAUUAUCUCCUUUUAGUAUUCAUUUUAUUUUUUUUAUUAAUGCAUUUAACACAUGCUACAUUUUCAUAUCAUAAAUAAAAAUAUGUACAUGUAAAUAUAUGAAAAUAAA